RNAcentral lists this ribosomal RNA (1504 nucleotides) under Klebsiella sp. H8. RNAcentral's name for it is "bacterial SSU rRNA". It matches the Rfam family "Bacterial small subunit ribosomal RNA". Lineage: Bacteria; Pseudomonadati; Pseudomonadota; Gammaproteobacteria; Enterobacterales; Enterobacteriaceae. The record is from RNAcentral.
GAGUUUGAUCAUGGCUCAGAUUGAACGCUGGCGGCAGGCCUAACACAUGCAAGUCGAGCGGUAGCACAGAGAGCUUGCUCUCGGGUGACGAGCGGCGGACGGGUGAGUAAUGUCUGGGAAACUGCCUGAUGGAGGGGGAUAACUACUGGAAACGGUAGCUAAUACCGCAUAACGUCGCAAGACCAAGGUGGGGGACCUUCGGGCCUCAUGCCAUCAGAUGUGCCCAGAUGGGAUUAGCUAGUAGGUGGGGUAACGGCUCACCUAGGCGACGAUCCCUAGCUGGUCUGAGAGGAUGACCAGCCACACUGGAACUGAGACACGGUCCAGACUCCUACGGGAGGCAGCAGUGGGGAAUAUUGCACAAUGGGCGCAAGCCUGAUGCAGCCAUGCCGCGUGUGUGAAGAAGGCCUUCGGGUUGUAAAGCACUUUCAGCGGGGAGGAAGGCGUUAAGGUUAAUAACCUUGGCGAUUGACGUUACCCGCAGAAGAAGCACCGGCUAACUCCGUGCCAGCAGCCGCGGUAAUACGGAGGGUGCAAGCGUUAAUCGGAAUUACUGGGCGUAAAGCGCACGCAGGCGGUCUGUCAAGUCGGAUGUGAAAUCCCCGGGCUCAACCUGGGAACUGCAUUCGAAACUGGCAGGCUAGAGUCUUGUAGAGGGGGGUAGAAUUCCAGGUGUAGCGGUGAAAUGCGUAGAGAUCUGGAGGAAUACCGGUGGCGAAGGCGGCCCCCUGGACAAAGACUGACGCUCAGGUGCGAAAAGCGUGGGGAGCAAACAGGAUUAGAUACCCUGGUAGUCCACGCCGUAAACGAUGUCGAUUUGGAGGUUGUGCCCUUGAGGCGUGGCUUCCGGAGCUAACGCGUUAAAUCGACCGCCUGGGGAGUACGGCCGCAAGGUUAAAACUCAAAUGAAUUGACGGGGGCCCGCACAAGCGGUGGAGCAUGUGGUUUAAUUCGAUGCAACGCGAAGAACCUUACCUGGUCUUGACAUCCACAGAACUUUCCAGAGAUGGAUUGGUGCCUUCGGGAACUGUGAGACAGGUGCUGCAUGGCUGUCGUCAGCUCGUGUUGUGAAAUGUUGGGUUAAGUCCCGCAACGAGCGCAACCCUUAUCCUUUGUUGCCAGCGGUCCGGCCGGGAGCUCAAAGGAGACUGCCAGUGAUAAACUGGAGGAAGGUGGGGAUGACGUCAAGUCAUCAUGGCCCUUACGACCAGGGCUACACACGUGCUACAAUGGCAUAUACAAAGAGAAGCGACCUCGCGAGAGCAAGCGGACCUCAUAAAGUAUGUCGUAGUCCGGAUUGGAGUCUGCAACUCGACUCCAUGAAGUCGGAAUCGCUAGUAAUCGUAGAUCAGAAUGCUACGGUGAAUACGUUCCCGGGCCUUGUACACACCGCCCGUCACACCAUGGGAGUGGGUUGCAAAAGAAGUAGGUAGCUUAACCUUCGGGAGGGCGCUUACCACUUUGUGAUUCAUGACUGGGGUGAAGUCGUAACAAGGUAACCGUA